AUAAUGGUGUUUUUAAACACCACAAUUACUUGCUUGGACUUUGUU
Picea glauca (white spruce) is the source of this 45-nucleotide non-coding RNA. The record is from Rfam. Lineage: Eukaryota; Viridiplantae; Streptophyta; Pinopsida; Pinales; Pinaceae.